RNAcentral lists this long non-coding RNA (4352 nucleotides) under Homo sapiens (human). Its description in RNAcentral is "HSALNT0324031". Lineage: Eukaryota; Metazoa; Chordata; Mammalia; Primates; Hominidae. The record is from RNAcentral.
GUAUAAGCAGCUGAGCGGCCCAUGCUGCUGCUCUGUCUAUGGAGCAGCCAUUCCUUUAUUCCUUCACUUUCUUUGUUUUUUGUUUUUUGUUUUGUUUUUUUGUUUGUUUUGAGACAGAGUCUCACUGUGACACCUAGUUUGGACUGCAAUGGCGCGAUCUUGGCUCACUGAAACCUCCGCUUCCCAGGUUCAAACGAUUCUCCUGCCUCAGCCUUCCGAGUAGCUGGGACUACAGGAAACCAGCUGUCAGGCCUCCCAGAUAGUAUCAGAAAGCUGAAGAUUUCCAGAUCGCUGCAUCCUAACAGCAAGGUGCCAGAACCCUGAUUCAACUACCUACUGCCUGUUGAGCAACUCCUACAUAAACUCCUAACUUUAUUGGUUACAGAGACAGAUUUUAGACUUGUCUCCCAUAUCCUGGCUGGCAUCACCAGCAAUAAAGCCUUUCUUCCUGGCAGUACUUGUUGUCUCAGUGAUUGGCUUUCUGUGUGGUGAGCAAUCAGACCUAAGCUGAAUCCCUGGCAUUCACCAACACAUAAAUGUGCAGUUCUGUUUCUGGACUCUCUCUUCUGCUUCAUUGAUCUGUUUUUCUAACUUUAUGCCAAAAUUGCACUAGUUUGAUUACUGUUCCUUUAUAAUAAGCUUUGAAAUAAUGUCAUAUUAGGCCUCCAACUUUGUUCUUCUUUUUGAAAACUGUUUUGGCUAUUUUAGGUCCUUGCAUUUCCAUAAAAGUAUUAGAAUCAGCUUAUCAAUUUCUCCAAAAAAAAAAAAAAAAGCCUACUGAGAUUUUGAUUGGGAUUGCACUGGAUUUAUAGACCAUUUUGGGGAGAACUGACAUCUUAACAAUAUUGAGUCUUCCUCCCAUGAACAAAGUAUAUUUCUUUAUUUGUUUAGGUCUUCUUUAAUUUUUCUCAACGAUGUUGUAUGGUUUUCAGUAUAUAGAUCUUUCAGAGUUUUGUCAGAUUAAUUCUUAAGUAUUUAAUAUUUUUGACCUAAUUGUAAAAGGUAUUAUUUCUUUCCGUUUCAAUUGCCAAUGGGUUAUUGCUAAUAUAUAGAAAUGCAAUUGAUUUUGCCUAUAACUUUGCUAAUAGUUCUAGUAGCUUUUUCAUGUGAAUUCCAUUGGCUAGUCUACAUAGCUCACUGACGCUCUGUUCAUUAAAAGAAUUUUUUCCCUCUGAGUUUCCUUUUAGGUAGCGUCUUUUGCUAUGAUUUCAAUUUCACUUUUUUCCCCUUCUUCAAUAGCUAAUCUGCUACUAAUCCUAUAGUGUUUUUUUCAUCUCAAUAUUGAACUUUCCAUCUGUAGAUGAUUUGAGUCUUUUCUAAAUCUUCCAUGUCUCUAUUUGACCUUUUAAACAUAUAGAAUACAGCUAUAGUAACUGUUUUAAUGUCCUUUUCUGUUUAUUCUACUGUCUGUGUCAGUUCUGGUUUGAUUUCAGUUUAUUGAUUAUUCUCUUCAUUAUGGCUAGUGUUUACCUCCUUCUUUUCAUGAUGAGUAAUUUUUUAUUUGAUGCCAGCCACUAUAAUUUUAUCUUGUUGGGUCUUGGGUUCUUUGCAAUCUUAUAAGUGUUCUUCAGCUUUGUUCUGCAAUACAGUUAAGAUACUUGGCAACACUUGAAUACUUAAAGUCUUGCUUUUAAGAUUUUUUAGGUGGUACUACAGCAGUGCUCAGUUUAGGCAUAAUUAUUCCCCACUACUAAGUUAAGACCCUUCUGUGUACUCUAUUUAUUGCUUCAUGAAUCAUGGUCUUAAAUGUGGCUGGUAAGAAUAGGUACUAUUUCUAGCUGUGUCCGAGUAUCAGACAUUGUUUCUUCUAAUCCACUCAGGUGGUUCUUUUGGCCUUGGGUAAUUUUCUGUCAUGCAUGCACAAAUCAAUACUCAGAAGAAUACUUAAGGAGGUCCCUCUGCAAAACCCUAGAACUCUGUGUGCACAAAUCUCUCCUCUCUGGGAACCUGCUUGUGAGUUCUCACUGCUGUGGUUUUUCCAACCUUCAACUCUGUCUCCCCAACUCAGGGAGGCCUUGGGGCUCCACCAGGGUUCCCUCUCCCUAUAUCUUAGCCUCAAAACUCUUUCACAGUAGUAAAUUUUGGCCACUGUAUGGAUGACAUUAUUUAUGUCUCAUCUCUUAAGUAUCAAAGUAUCAUUAUCCUUAAUUGCCUGGUGUCCAGUACCUUAAAAUUGCUAUUUAAUAUAUUUUGCUUUUUUUUUUUUUUCAGGGAGGAGGGUAAAUCCAAUCCAUCUUGAAUGAGCAUAUGUAUUAGUUUUUAUGCUCCUGAUAAAGACAUAGCUGAGGCUGAGCAAUUUACAAAAGAAAGAGGUUUAAUAGACUUAUAGUUCCUUAUGGCUGGGGAGGCCUCACAAUCAUGGCGGAAGGCAAGAAGGAGCAGGUCACAUCUUACGUGGAUGGCAGUAGGCAAAGAGUUUGUGCAGAGAAACUCACAUUUUAAAACCAUCAGAUCUCCUGAGACCCACGAGAACAGCACAAGAAACAGCACGGGAAAGACGUGCCCCCAUGAUUCAACCAUCUCCCACUGGGUCCCUCCAACAACAUGUGGGAAUUAUGGGAGCUACAAGAUGAGAUUUCGGUGGGGACACAGAGCCAAACCAUAUCAGGGUAGAAUGGUAUUAAAGAAAAAGAUUUUCUUACACUUAUUAAGGCAGUAAGAAAGAUUUAUUCAAGAUUAUUGCAAUAGGUAUCAAGACUGUGCAAUAGGAGACAGGAAAUGGUUGAGCUCAACUCUGAAUACAGCAAAAACCACUGGAGGUUUUUAGCCAGUGAGCAGAAUGGGAGGAGAAGAGUCAGUGGAUGGAAAAUUACUAAGAGGAGAAAUCAAAGGUGGGAGGAUUUUCCCUAAACUGACUUAGCAGGACUCUUGUUACAAUUGGACUAGGCAGGCUGAAGACAGGAUGCAAGGACAAAGCUUGUUGAAAAGAGGCCUCAGAGGAGCUCAUCUAAAAUUUGGUCAAGGGGAGGGUCUUUCUUGGUCCCUCCUCUUGUUCAAGGGAAAAAGAGACAUUCUUCUUUCCUUUGAACAAUAUAAGUCAAUUUCUCAUUUGGUGGCCUUUUUUUCAUUAAGGACAAGCUGAGCCCCCUGCUGAAACUUGGUAGCAGGGCAGCCAGUUGAGAAGAUUUCUAGAUGUCAAGGCAUCUUUAGAUGAUGGGGUGAGGACUGCAGUGGCCAUCCCAGAUCAUGGAUUUUCUGGUUUGCAGUUUGAAUGUCCUUGGUGAUGGCAUAGACAUCAGUGUCACAGUCAUGGUUAUUUUUCCGAGCAGAGUGUAGAAGUGUCCAACUUCAUCUUGAAGGGCUUCUUUAGACAGUCACAAUAAAGAUCUGGGAAGUUAGGUUUUAGUUCUCAGUGAUGCCAAAUCAGGACAGUGGGAGAAAAAUUAAAAACCUCAGUUUGGAGAGUGGUAGCCAGAUAGUAAAGGGAACUAGAAGAACUGAGAAUUUGGUAAGGACUGACAAGCUGUGCAUGAUGACAGGAUCCCGUUCAAUUUACAAGUAGAUAACAAAACCUGAAAGACAAGUACAGGACCAGAAUAAUAACCCAUAAGAAGGUGCUAUAGUUUUUAUAAAAUAUCUUUCUACAGUCAUCCCCCUUUUUUGAUCCAAAUUAACCAAAGUAAGAUUAUUCUUGUUUACAAAAUAAGUCUUGUCUCAUUAUAUUUGACUUACUUAUUUGCAUAAUUGCAGCAAGAAUGGCAACUGACCAGGUAGGCUUAUUUAAGUUUGCAUUGCUGGAACUUUUUACAAGUAAUCUCAGAUUAUGCUUUCAAGAGUUCUUGAAGCUAUAAAGCCAAGUCAAGCACCACCAGGCCUUAUCUGCAAUGCCUAGAGAUUCAGAUGGGUUCUUCUCUUCUUGAGGUCCUAAAAACAUCCUGAGUUUCUUUGGCCUGCCAGAAAGUCACCUUCCUGACUCACCUGUAAGGCUGGGAACUCCAUAAUCCAGGUACCAGGCAGACUUUCCGGGAGGGCUUCAUAUGCAUUGGCUCCAUAAAGUUAACCUUAGUUCCUCAAAACUGUCUGUUCAUAUGUGAUUUUAUGUCUUAUUCUCAGUUGGAAAUGCAGAAAUCACCUGUCUUCUGCGUCGAUCAGGCUGGGAGCUGCAGACCGGAGCUGUUCCUAUUCGGCCAUCUUGGAAUGGACCCCCAUGUCUUAUUCUCAAAUAAAACAUUUUGGUCAAAGCCUUGAUUAUCUAAUCAAUUUUUAAAAUUAUGUUCUGUUACAAAAAGGACAGAUUCUUAUCGAACCCAUAUAAAAUAGUAUAUCACCAUUGAUACGGUUUGGAUCUGUGUCCCCACUCAAAUCUGAUGUUCAAUUGUAAUCUCCCAGUGUUAGAGGUGAGGCCUAGGGGG